This 331-nucleotide ribosomal RNA is filed under the name uncultured bacterium. Its description in RNAcentral is "bacterial SSU rRNA". It matches the Rfam family "Bacterial small subunit ribosomal RNA", at positions 568 to 898 of the family's 1533-position model. The record is from RNAcentral.
CUCGUAGGCGGUCUGUUACGUCUGCUGUGAAAACCCGGGGCUUAACCCUUGGCUUGCAGUGGAUACGGGCAGACUAGAGGUAGGUAGGGGAGAAUGGAAUUCCCGGUGUAGCGGUGAAAUGCGCAGAUAUCGGGAGGAACACCGGUGGCGAAGGCGGUUCUCUGGGCCUUACCUGACGCUGAGGAGCGAAAGCGUGGGGAGCGAACAGGAUUAGAUACCCUGGUAGUCCACGCUGUAAACGUUGGGCGCUAGGUGUGGGGUCUUCCACGGAUUCCGUGCCGCAGCUAACGCAUUAAGCGCCCCGCCUGGGGAGUACGGCCGCAAGGCUAAA